RNAcentral lists this long non-coding RNA (361 nucleotides) under Salvia miltiorrhiza (redroot sage). RNAcentral's name for it is "long non-coding RNA (SMIL_LNC013500)". Lineage: Eukaryota; Viridiplantae; Streptophyta; Magnoliopsida; Lamiales; Lamiaceae. The record is from RNAcentral.
UGAUAUUUUCAAAAGAGUUUAGUUUAAUAAAAAUUAGGACUUUUUGCCUAUGUGUUAUUUAAGUUAUUUUGGCUUAAGAUAUAUGUAUUUGAGCAUGAUAUUAGUGUAUAAUUAUGUUUGAGUAAGUCUUUUGUUGGCUAAGAAAUUUUUGACUUAGUUUAGUUUGUAUGAGUUUUUGAGUUUUCAUAUUUUGAGAAGUCGAUGAUUGAUAAAAUGAGGUUUAAUUGCUUUAUGACCAUUAUGUGAAAGUUUGUCAUGUUUUAUUAAGAGUUUUAUGAUGAUACAUGAAGUUUCAUUAGAGUUUAGUACAUGAUAAAAGGGAAUCUAUAUGUGUAUAAUGAUUUAUAUGAUGAAUGAGAUC